ACUGAUGCUGACCAAAUUGCUUUUAAUGU
RNAcentral lists this non-coding RNA (29 nucleotides) under Rattus norvegicus (Norway rat). Lineage: Eukaryota; Metazoa; Chordata; Mammalia; Rodentia; Muridae. The record is from RNAcentral.